ACCAGACUCCUACGGGAGGCAGCAGUGGGGGAUAUUGCACAAUGGGGGGAACCCUGAUGCAGCGACGCCGCGUGGGUGAAGGAGUGCUUCGGCGCGUAAAGCCCUAUCGGCAGGGAAGAAGGAGGACGGUACCUGACUAAGAAGCCCCGGCUAACUACGUGCCAGCAGCCGCGGUAAUACGUAGGGGGCAAGCGUUAUCCGGAUUUACUGGGUGUAAAGGGGGCGCAGACGGCAGCGCAAGCCAGGAGUGAAAGUCCAUGGCUUAACCAUGGUACUGCUCUGGAAACUGUGGAGCUUGAGUACUGGAGAGGCAGACGGAAUUCCUAGUGUAGCGGUGAAAUGCGUAGAUAUUAGGAGGAACACCAGUGGCGAAGGCGGUCUGCUGGACAGCAACUGACGGUGAGGCGCGAAAGCGUGGGGAGCAAACAGGAUUAGAUACCCCUGUA
This 446-nucleotide ribosomal RNA is filed under the name uncultured bacterium. Its description in RNAcentral is "bacterial SSU rRNA". It matches the Rfam family "Bacterial small subunit ribosomal RNA", at positions 330 to 792 of the family's 1533-position model. The record is from RNAcentral.